CAGCCGCCGCGGUAAAACAGAGGGUGCGAGCGUUAAUCGGAUUUACUGGGCGUAAAGCGUGCGUAGGCGGCUUUUUAAGUCGGAUGUGAAAUCCCUGAGCUUAACUUGGGAACUGCAUUUGAAACUGGCAAGCUAGAGUCUUGUAGAGGGGGGUAGAAUUCCAGGUGUAGCGGUGAAAUGCGUAGAGAUCUGGAGGAAUACCGGUGGCGAAGGCGGCCCCCUGGACAAAGACUGACGCUCAGGUGCGAAAGCGUGGGGAGCAAACAGGAUUAGAUACCCCAGUAGUCCCUGUCUCUUAUAC
This 301-nucleotide ribosomal RNA is filed under the name uncultured bacterium. RNAcentral's name for it is "partial 16S ribosomal RNA". It matches the Rfam family "Bacterial small subunit ribosomal RNA", at positions 509 to 807 of the family's 1533-position model. The record is from RNAcentral.